GACAGAGGGUGCAAACGUUGUUCGGAAUUACUGGGCGUAAAGCGCGUGUAGGCGGCAAGGCAAGUCGGAUGUGAAAGCCCACGGCUCAACCGUGGAAGUGCACCCGAAACUGCCUAGCUAGAGUCUCGGAGAGGAAGGUGGAAUGCUUGGUGUAGAGGUGAAAUUCGUAGAUAUCAAGCGGAACACCGGUGGCGAAGGCGGCGACCUGGUCCGUGACUGACG
RNAcentral lists this ribosomal RNA (222 nucleotides) under uncultured bacterium. RNAcentral describes it as "partial 16S ribosomal RNA". It matches the Rfam family "Bacterial small subunit ribosomal RNA", at positions 524 to 745 of the family's 1533-position model. The record is from RNAcentral.